CAUUGCACUCCGGAUGUGCUGACCCCUGCGAUUUCCCCAAAUGUGGGAAACUCGACUGCAUAAUUUGUGGUAGUGGGGGACUGCGUUCGCGCUUUCCCCUG
RNAcentral lists this small nuclear RNA (101 nucleotides) under Moschus moschiferus (Siberian musk deer). RNAcentral's name for it is "U1 spliceosomal RNA (ENSMMSG00000004685.1)". It matches the Rfam family "U1 spliceosomal RNA", at positions 64 to 166 of the family's 166-position model. From Rfam's summary of the family: U1 is a small nuclear RNA (snRNA) component of the spliceosome (involved in pre-mRNA splicing). Its 5' end forms complementary base pairs with the 5' splice junction, thus defining the 5' donor site of an intron. The record is from Rfam by way of RNAcentral. Lineage: Eukaryota; Metazoa; Chordata; Mammalia; Artiodactyla; Moschidae.